AAAACCUUUGCUUAUAAAAACUCUCACACUCAUAUCCUCUUCCUCGAGAAAUCAAAACUCUCGAUUCUUCUUCUUCUUCUUCGAUACUACAAAAUAUAUCCAUCUUUCAUCUUUUUCCUUUUUAAAUUCUCUGUGAAUUUCUUACCGAGAAGAUCACCGAUGAUGAUCCAUUCCAACAUUCUCUCUUCAAAGAAGUUCAUUCUUCAUCUCAGAACCUAUCCGUAAGAUUUGAUUCGAGAAAAGCAUCUCUUCUUAUCUCGUGAUUUCAGUUCGGGUCUCUCUUAAUUUCACCGUUCAUGUUGAAUGUUGAUCUGUUACCAUGGAUGCUUCUUACGCGAUUCUCACCGGAGAAUUUUGGCGACUGAGAACGAGGACUAUGUAGCAGAUUCGAAUUUCGAUGGAGUCGCCUGAAGAUGCAUGAAGAAGAAGAUCAAAACAGAGUUUCGUGGCUUUCUUCGACAAGGAGACGGUGCAGUGAAGGUUAACUAAUGGGCCUUGGCAAUUGGGCUUUUCGUACUCCUCACUACCCAAAUCCAAACCAGAUCAGAGGGGUUAGUUAAUUACCAUACAAGAACUCAUUUUCUAUUGGAGUGAUUGACUCUAUUUGGUUAAAGACCAAAGCACUCAGAUUUGUCUGGAAUUCGGAUAGGUGAUCCAAAAGAGGUAUCAGCUUGAUUGGAUCAUUGAAACAAGAGUCAUGUCUCUAUGUUUAUGGAGUUGCAGGAGAUGAAGCUUAUCAAGGAUGGUAAAAGAAUGUUGGAAUCAUUCUCUUCUCCCAAAAGAUUGAACCAGAGAUUGAGAAGCCUAGCAGCAAAUACGAGUUAAAGGCGAGCCAAAGAAGAAAGAGUAAGCCAUGUUUAAUCUCGAUUGUGACUCUUCAACAUCUCUUCUUCGAUUGUGUUUUUUCUAAUGAGGCUUCGUCUUUCUUCACAUCUAGAGCCCAUGUUUCUCCUCCAAUUCAUUUGGAACAUGGUCUUAGAUGGAUGAAAGACCCAUGCCGCAACAAAAACACUUCUCUGAUUCUCAAGAUUAUCUUCCAAGCUUCAAUAUACUCGAUUUGGAAGGAAAUAAAUUCUAGACUUCACUCUCAGUCUUCUCGUCCCCCGACAAGUUUGAUCUUGGACAUUUAGAAUUCUCUCAGGUGUAAGCUAGACCCUCUAUCUAGGGUGCAGCGUUCCGACUCCGUCUCUCUUUUAUCUACUUGGUUUGAAAUUUUUUAACCUUAGUUUGGUAAGUAGGUAAGAGGUCUGUAAGCUUUAUUCUGUUUGUUUUCGUGAUUCCUCUGUAACCUUUUAUUAUUAAUGGAAAAAAAAAAUGUUUAAUCUCGAGAAGAAGCUGAAGGAUAGCACAAGAGGUUUUAAGACCCGUAUGGUUUA
Arabidopsis lyrata subsp. lyrata is the source of this 1376-nucleotide long non-coding RNA. RefSeq lists it as uncharacterized. The record is from RefSeq and is a predicted model, not a curated record. NCBI's taxonomy places the organism in Eukaryota, Viridiplantae, Streptophyta, Magnoliopsida, Brassicales, Brassicaceae. The transcript is spliced from 2 exons.